AGUGAACGCUGGCGGCGUGCUUAACACAUGCAAGUCGAACGAGAACGGAUUAUAGCUUGCUAUAAUUGUCAGCUAAGUGGCGCACGGGUGAGUAAUGUAUAGGUAAUAUGCCUCUUACUAAGGGAUAACAAAUGGAAACGUUUGCUAAUACCUUAUACUCCUUAUUAACAUAAGUUAAUAAGGGAAAGAUUUAUUGGUAAGAGAUUAGCCUGUAUUGUAUCAGUUAGUUGGUGGGGUAAUGGCUUACCAAGACUAUGACACAUAACUGGUUUGAGAGGAUGAUCAGUCACACUGGAACUGAGACACAGUCCAGACUCCUACGGGAGGCAGCAGUGGGGAAUAUUGCACAAUGGACGAAAGUCUGAUGCAGCGACGCCGCGUGGAGGAUGACACAUUUCGGUGCGUAAACUCCUUUUGUAUGAGAAGAUAAUAACGGUAUUAUAUGAAUAAGCACCGGCUAACUCCGUGCCAGCCGCCGCAGUAA
This 484-nucleotide ribosomal RNA is filed under the name uncultured bacterium. Its description in RNAcentral is "partial 16S ribosomal RNA". It matches the Rfam family "Bacterial small subunit ribosomal RNA", at positions 29 to 523 of the family's 1533-position model. The record is from RNAcentral.